This 407-nucleotide ribosomal RNA is filed under the name uncultured bacterium. RNAcentral's name for it is "partial 16S ribosomal RNA". It matches the Rfam family "Bacterial small subunit ribosomal RNA", at positions 30 to 526 of the family's 1533-position model. The record is from RNAcentral.
AUUGAACGCUGGCGGCAGGCCUAACACAUGCAAGUCGAGCGGAGCGGCGGACGGGUGAGUAAUGCCUAGGAAUCUGCCUGGUCGUGGGGGAUAACGUCCGGCAACGGGCGCUAAUACCGCAUACUAUCAGAUGAGCCUAGGUCGGAUUAGCUAGUUGGUGGGGUAAAGGCAUACCAGGGCGACGAUCCGUAACUCGUAUGAGAGGAUGAUCAGGCACAUUGGAACUGAGACACGGCCCAGACUCCUACGGGAGGCAGCAGUGGGGAAUAUUGGACAUGGGGCGAAGUCCUGAGCCAGCCAUGCCGCGUGUGGGAAGAAGGUCUUCGGAUUGUAAAGCACUUUAAGUUGGGAGGCGUUACCAACAGAAUAAGCACCGGCUAACUUCGUGCCAGCAGCCGCGGUAAUAC